GCUUGUCUCAAAGAUUAAGCCAUGCAUGUCUAAGUAUAAAUAGUAUACAGUGAAACUGCGAAUGGCUCAUUAAAACAGUUAUAGUUUAUUUGAUAAUUGAAAAUUACAUGGAUAACCGUGGUAAUUCUAGAGCUAAUACAUGCUGGUUAGCCUGACUUUUAGGAAGGGCUGUAUUUAUUAGAUAACAAACCAAUAUUCCUCGUGUCUAUUGUGAUGACUCAUAAUAACUGAUCGAAUCGCAUGGGCCUUGCCCGCGAUACAUCAUUCAAGUUUCUGCCCCAUCAGCUUUCGAUGGUAGUGUAUUGGACUACCAUGGCUUUAACGGGUAACGGAGGAUUAGGGUUCGAUUCCGGAGAGGGAGCCUGAGAAACGGCUACCACAUCUAAGGAAGGCAGCAGG
RNAcentral lists this ribosomal RNA (399 nucleotides) under uncultured Hypotrichia. RNAcentral describes it as "partial small subunit ribosomal RNA". It matches the Rfam family "Eukaryotic small subunit ribosomal RNA", at positions 30 to 432 of the family's 1831-position model. The record is from RNAcentral. Lineage: Eukaryota; Ciliophora; Spirotrichea.